AUUCAAAUAGCUUAUAUUAGAGUGUAACACUGAAGAUGUUAAGGAAAUAAUUUUAUUUUUGAAUA
This 65-nucleotide transfer RNA is filed under the name Oxya chinensis. Its description in RNAcentral is "tRNA-Phe". Lineage: Eukaryota; Metazoa; Arthropoda; Insecta; Orthoptera; Acrididae. The record is from RNAcentral.